UACGAAGGGGGCUAGCGUUGCUCGGAAUUACUGGGCGUAAAGGGCGCGUAGGCGGACAGUUUAGUCAGAGGUGAAAGCCCAGGGCUCAACCUUGGAACUGCCUUUGAUACUGACUGUCUUGAGUUCGGGAGAGGUGAGUGGAAUGCCGAGUGUAGAGGUGAAAUUCGUAGAUAUUCGGCGGAACACCAGUGGCGAAGGCGGCUCUCUGGGACGGUACUGACGCUGAGACGCGAAAGCGUGGGGAGCGAACAGG
This 253-nucleotide ribosomal RNA is filed under the name uncultured bacterium. Its description in RNAcentral is "partial 16S ribosomal RNA". It matches the Rfam family "Bacterial small subunit ribosomal RNA", at positions 524 to 776 of the family's 1533-position model. The record is from RNAcentral.